This 486-nucleotide ribosomal RNA is filed under the name uncultured bacterium. RNAcentral's name for it is "partial 16S ribosomal RNA". It matches the Rfam family "Bacterial small subunit ribosomal RNA", at positions 30 to 507 of the family's 1533-position model. The record is from RNAcentral.
AUUGAACGCUGGCGGCAUGCCUUACACAUGCAAGUCGAACGGCAGCACGGGUGCUUGCACCUGGUGGCGAGUGGCGAACGGGUGAGUAAUACAUCGGAACAUGUCCUGUAGUGGGGGAUAGCCCGGCGAAAGCCGGAUUAAUACCGCAUACGAUCCACGGAUGAAAGCGGGGGACCUUCGGGCCUCGCGCUAUAGGGUUGGCCGAUGGCUGAUUAGCGAGUUGGUGGGGUAAAGGCCUACCAAGGCGACGAUCAGUAGCUGGUCUGAGAGGACGACCAGCCACACUGGGACUGAGCCACGGCCCAGACUCCUACGGGAGGCAGCAGUGGCGAAUUUUGGACAAUGGGCGGAAGCCUGAUCCAGCAAUGCCGCGUGUGUGAAGAAGGCCUUCGGGUUGUAAAGCACUUUUGUCCGGAAAGAAAUCCUUUACUCUAAUACAGUCGGGGGAUGACGGUACCGGAAGAAUAAGCACCGGCUAACUACGUG